RNAcentral lists this ribosomal RNA (496 nucleotides) under uncultured bacterium. Its description in RNAcentral is "bacterial SSU rRNA". It matches the Rfam family "Bacterial small subunit ribosomal RNA", at positions 12 to 507 of the family's 1533-position model. The record is from RNAcentral.
UUUGAUCAUGGCUCAGGAUUAACGCUGGCGGUAUGCCUAACACAUGCAAGUCGAACGGAAUACUAAUUAAGAGAAUCUCACACUAGUGAGAGGUUCUCACGAGUAGUAUUUAGUGGCGGACGGGUGAGUAACACGUUGGAACCUGCCCCGAAGUGGGGAAUAACUGCUCGAAAGAGUAGCUAAUACCCCAUAGUAUCCGGUUUAUCCGGAUUAAAGAUUUAUCGCUUUGGGAGGGGCCUGCGUCUGAUUAGCUAGUUGGUGAGGUAAAAGCUCACCAAGGCGACGAUCAGUAGCUGGUUCGAGAGGAUGACCAGCCACACUGGGACUGAGAUACGGCCCAGACUCCUACGGGAGGCAGCAGUGAGGAAUCUUCCACAAUGGGCGCAAGCCUGAUGGAGCAAUACCGCGUGCAGGAAGACGCUUUUCGGAGUGUAAACUGCUUUUGUCGUCGAAGAUUAUGACUGUAGACGAAGAAUAAGGACCGGCUAACUACGUG